UUACGGACAGUGCCUGGUGGGUAGUUUGACUGGGGCGGUCUCCUCCCAAAGAGUAACGGAGGAGCACGAAGGUGGGCUAAUCACGGUCGGACAUCGUGAGGUUAGUGCAAUGGCAUAAGCCCGCUUGACUGCGAGAAUGACAAUUCGAGCAGGUGCGAAAGCAGGUCAUAGUGAUCCGGUGGUUCUGAAUGGAAGGGCCAUCGCUCAACGGAUAAAAGGUACUCCGGGGAUAACAGGCUGAUACCGCCCAAGAGUUCAUAUCGACGGCGGUGUUUGGCACCUCGAUGUCGGCUCAUCACAUCCUGGGGCUGAAGUCGGUCCCAAGGGUAUGGCUGUUCGCCAUUUAAAGUGGUACGCGAGCUGGGUUUAGAACGUCGUGAGACAGUUCGGUCCCUAUCUGCCGUGGGCGUUGGAUGAUUGAGAGGGGCUGCUCCUAGUACGAGAGGACCGGAGUGGACGAACCGCUGGUGUUCGGGUUGUGUCGCCAGACGCAUUGCCCGGUAGCUAAGUUCGGAAUCGAUAACCGCUGAAAGCAUCUAAGCGGGAAGCGAGCCUC
This 556-nucleotide ribosomal RNA is filed under the name Photobacterium leiognathi subsp. mandapamensis. Its description in RNAcentral is "bacterial LSU rRNA". It matches the Rfam family "Bacterial large subunit ribosomal RNA", at positions 2245 to 2800 of the family's 2925-position model. Lineage: Bacteria; Pseudomonadati; Pseudomonadota; Gammaproteobacteria; Vibrionales; Vibrionaceae. The record is from RNAcentral.